RNAcentral lists this transfer RNA (82 nucleotides) under Crassvirales sp. RNAcentral describes it as "tRNA-Leu". It matches the Rfam family "tRNA". Rfam says of the family: Transfer RNA (tRNA) molecules are approximately 80 nucleotides in length. Their secondary structure includes four short double-helical elements and three loops (D, anti-codon, and T loops). Further hydrogen bonds mediate the characteristic L-shaped molecular structure. tRNAs have two regions of fundamental functional importance: the anti-codon, which is responsible for specific mRNA codon recognition, and the 3' end, to which the tRNAs corresponding amino acid is attached (by aminoacyl-tRNA synthetases). tRNAs cope with the degeneracy of the genetic code in two manners: having more than one tRNA (with a specific anti-codon) for a particular amino acid; and 'wobble' base-pairing, i.e. permitting non-standard base-pairing at the 3rd anti-codon position. Lineage: Duplodnaviria; Heunggongvirae; Uroviricota; Caudoviricetes; Crassvirales. The record is from RNAcentral.
GCAGGUAUGGUGGAAUUGGUAGACACGUCAGACUUAGGAUCUGAUGCUUCACGGCGUGGGGGUUCGAGUCCCUCUACCUGCA